AGUGAACGCUGGCGGUAGGCCUAACACAUGCAAGUCGAACGGCAGCACAGUAAGAGCUUGCUCUUACGGGUGGCGAGUGGCGGACGGGUGAGGAAUACAUCGGACUCUACUUUUUCGUGGGGGAUAACGUAGGGAAACUUACGCCAAUACCGCAUACGACCUACGGGUGAAAGCAGGGGAUCUUCGGACCUUGCGCGAUUGAAUGAGCCGAUGUCGGAUUAGCUAGUUGGCGGGGUAAAGGCCCACCAAGGCGACGAUCCGUAGCUGGUCUGAGAGGAUGAUCAGCCACACUGGAACUGAGACACGGUCCAGACUCCUACGGGAGGCAGCAGUGGGGAAUAUUGGACAAUGGGCGCAAGCCUGAUCCAGCCAUACCGCGUGGGUGAAGAAGGCCUUCGGGUUGUAAAGCCCUUUUGUUGGGAAAGAAAAGCAGCAGGUUAAUACCCCGCUGUUCUGACGGUACCCAAAGAAUAAGCACCGGCUAACUUCGUG
RNAcentral lists this ribosomal RNA (492 nucleotides) under uncultured bacterium. RNAcentral describes it as "partial 16S ribosomal RNA". It matches the Rfam family "Bacterial small subunit ribosomal RNA", at positions 29 to 507 of the family's 1533-position model. The record is from RNAcentral.